RNAcentral lists this ribosomal RNA (490 nucleotides) under uncultured bacterium. RNAcentral describes it as "partial 16S ribosomal RNA". It matches the Rfam family "Bacterial small subunit ribosomal RNA", at positions 30 to 507 of the family's 1533-position model. The record is from RNAcentral.
AUUGAACGCUGGCGGCAGGCUUAACACAUGCAAGUCGAACGGUAACAGGAAGCAGCUUGCUGCUUCGCUGACGAGUGGCGGACGGGUGAGUAAUGUCUGGGAAGCUUCCUGAUGGAGGGGGAUAACUACUGGAAACGGUAGCUAAUACCGCAUAAUGUCGCAAGACCAAAGAGGGGGACCUUCGGGCCUCUUGCCAUCGGAUGUGCCCAGAUGGGAUUAGCUUGUUGGUGGGGUAACGGCUCACCAAGGCGACGAUCCCUAGCUGGUCUGAGAGGAUGACCAGCCACACUGGAACUGAGACACGGUCCAGACUCCUACGGGAGGCAGCAGUGGGGAAUAUUGCACAAUGGGCGCAAGCCUGAUGCAGCCAUGCCGCGUGUAUGAAGAAGGCCUUCGGGUUGUAAAGUACUUUCAGCGGGGAGGAAGGGAGUAAAGUUAAUACCUUUGCUCAUUGACGUUACCCGCAGAAGAAGCACCGGCUAACUCCGUG